Tachysurus fulvidraco (yellow catfish) is the source of this 2828-nucleotide long non-coding RNA. RefSeq lists it as uncharacterized. The record is from RefSeq and is a predicted model, not a curated record. NCBI's taxonomy places the organism in Eukaryota, Metazoa, Chordata, Actinopteri, Siluriformes, Bagridae. The transcript has 3 exons.
GGGGCGGGGUCUCUAACCCUAUUACGGAUUGCCAAUAAGCCACGCUUAUUUAAAGGACAGGCGAAAGCGAAGGGCGGCUGGGGUCCUGUUAGCAAUUGCCCGGUGCGCGGCUUGUAGCUGUGUGGGACCAUUAGUCCCGGUAUAUUUCCCCCGGUAUAAGUAUUUUACUGUUUUUAGCAUGUGAUAGUUUGAAACUCAGGAUCAUUGUGGAUUUGUUUUGCCAAGAAUGUGGGUUUGAUGUUCGGGACCACCGUACAGUUGGCUGGUUGGUUUCGUUUCGUUAAGGUUGUUGGAUGAUGGUGACUAGUCGCUGUUCUCUUUUGGGUUUUCUUUUUUGUAAAAUUGACUGCUCCCUGUGGUGAAUGUAUGUUAAAUCCCUAGCCAGCUGGUGUUUUGUUUCUUUUCGAAUUAUUAAGUUUGUGUAAUUUGGUUUAAUGGUUGGCUAGGGGAUUUUGUUUUUAUUUUUAUUUUUCCUUUCUCUUUUUAAGUACAUUUGAUUGUCUGUGUCUUCCUGUACCCUUUGGGUAUACCCCUUGGGUAGCUUCCCACCAAUUUGUGGGGAAUCAGAGAUGGGGAUUGAUAGAGCCCCAACAGGUUUUGUGUGCUUAAUUGUGUGAUGUAUUGAUAUUGAGGGUGCAUUAUUAAUGACUUGUGGUGGGUUUAUGGGGCGGAGAUUGCUGUGCUCAUACAGUUUGCAGUGAAACUACUCUUCCCUGUAGGAAGCUCUAUUAUCUUUUGUCUGCUGAGUAUACCAUCUGAAGGAGGCUGCUCUGGGGGACUGUGUCCGGUCAGGGUGAACGACCCAAAUUAUUUUUAUGUUCUGUUAAAUAAAGUUUAAUGUGUUUUCUAUUUUAUGCUUACUGUGGUGGAUUUUCUUUGUAUGCACCUGAGUUGCCUGGGCAUUCGGGUUGCUACAUUUUGGCGCUGUGAGCAGGGCUGCGAUUAUUUUGCAGAUUUGUGUUUUUGGGAGCAGUUCAGUUGUUUGUUUUUUGUUUUUUACAUUUUUUUUUAUAAGUUAGAGAACAGCGGCUAGAAAGAUCAGCCUCCUCUUCUGCAUCACCGUCUGGUCGCUCGGCAAGCCUUCAAAAUGGAAGAGGAGCUGCAACGACUACGUGCUCAAGUGGAGCAGCUUGCGUCGGAAAAUCAAAGACUCUUGGGGCCAAGUCAAGGUGGGAAUGUCGGAAGGACAAGCUAGUGGGGGGGAUGUUUCUUCAUCACGCAGAGAACAAGCUGUGUAUUUUCCCAGAGAACGUAAAUGCUCAAAGUUUUCUGGAUUUUCAGCUGUUGGGGCAUUGUCUGUGGAAGAAUGGAUAGAGGAGGCUCAGAGUUGUAUUAGGUCAAGGUAUAUGUCUGAAUGGGACAAAGCUCUCUUUCUUUUGGAUCAUUUAGAAGGAGAGGCCCGUAAUGAAAUUAAAUAUCGGCCUCAGGGAGUGAGGGAAAAUUCUGAACAAAUUUUUGAGGUUUUAAAAGAAGUGUAUGGAUGUUCAAAAUCAUAUGUUUAUUGGCAGCAAAGGUUUUUUGAUCGAAAGCAGAGGGAUGGGGAAUCAUUAUACGAGUUUUCACAUGCCUUGUUGGCUCUAAUGGAACGGGUAGAGCAGUGUAAGCCAGGUGCUAUACCCAAUACCGAGACUGUUGUUAGAGAUCAGUUUUGUGAAAAUGUGCGUGACUCUAUGCUUCGCAGGGAGCUGAAAAGGUUGGUACGAAGUAGAGAGACCAUGUCACUCUUAGAAGUACGACGGGAGGCUGUCCAGUGGGCAACCUAACCGAGACAAGCAGGUACGCUCUACCCCAUAUACUUAAGAGACACAUGUUACACCUAGAUGUGAGGCUCUUUGUGUUCAGUCUUCUACAGAGUUGAUAGAACUUAAGAAUAUAGUCCUGAAACAACAGGCACAGUUGGACUUGUUGGUAAAGCACCUCGCUCCUGCUAUUAGUAAACCUUCUGGUCAGAACAAUCGAUUUAAGCGUGCACCGGAUGGUAGACCAAUUUGUAUUAAAUGUAACCGACCUGGGCAUAUUGCUCGGUACUGUGAUACUGGUCUGGAUACUCAUGGGGGGGGGGACCGGUUAGAGAACCCUCUGGGCUGUCGGAAAACUAGUGACCCCCAGCGUAUUGAGCCAUACGCUGGGAGGAACGGUAGAGGGCUCCUGUGUAGAUUCUUCAGUUUAUGAUCGGUUAGUAGGACAAUGUCCUGCUUUAGGUGUAAAGAUGGAUAAUGUGAAUGUUCCAUGUUUAGUGGACACGGGUUCUAUGGUCACGACUGUGACCGAGAGUUUCUUUAAUAAGUAUCUUUCUCAUGUAAAAAAGCAAGAGUGUGAGUGGCUUGGUUUAAAAGCUGCUAAUGGGCUUGAUAUUCCUUAUAUAGGUUAUAUGGAAUUAGACGUGAAUGUUUUAAAUCAGUGCAUUCCAAGGCGUGGUAUUUUGAUUGUAAAAGAUCCUAUACAUACAGCAUUACAAACUCGUAAGACCAUCACCCCAGGUAUCUUGGGGAUGAAUGUUCUGAGGGAAUGUUAUCAGAGUCUUUUUGAUCAAUAUGGGGCUGGGUUAUUCCAGACCCCGCUAAUACAAUCAGCCACUCCGGGGUUUCGGCGUGCACUUAGGCAGUGUGAGAAAACUGAGGCCGUUCUUAAUUCAACAACUGCAUUUAAGGUAAAGGUGUUAGGAGAUCAGCCUGUUUGUAUCGCUGCUGGAACUCUUUCUAUGGUACCUGUGACAUGUCCCCAGUUUCCUUUAGCAGAAUUUUUGUUGGAGCCUUUGGGCCCAGAAGAAGGUACCCUCCCUGAGGGGUUACUUGUCUCCCCAGCACUCCUACAAGCAGAGUACGGUA